This 65-nucleotide transfer RNA is filed under the name Cyphoderris monstrosa. RNAcentral's name for it is "tRNA-His". Lineage: Eukaryota; Metazoa; Arthropoda; Insecta; Orthoptera; Prophalangopsidae. The record is from RNAcentral.
ACUUAAGUAGUUUAUAUAAAAAUGUUGAUUUGUGGUGUCAAUGAAAUGAAAUUUCAUCUUGGGUU